AAGCCCCGGUGAACGGCGGCCGUAACUAUAACGGUCCUAAGGUAGCGAAAUUCCUUGUCGGGUAAGUUCCGACCCGCACGAAAGGUGUAACGAUUUGGGCACUGUCUCAACGAGGGACCCGGUGAAAUUGAAAUACCUGUGAAGAUGCAGGUUACCCGCGACUGGACAGAAAGACCCCAUGGAGCUUUACUGUAACCUGACAUUGGGUUUUGAUACAUUACGUACAGGAUAGGUGGGAGGCUUGGAAAGCUGGACGCUAGUCUGGCUGGAGCCGACGUUGGGAUACCACCCUUGAUGUAUUGAAAUUCUAACCGCGAGAGUAACGAAAUCCGGGACAGUGUCAGGCGGGCAGUUUGACUGGGGCGGUCGCCUCCGAAAGAGUAACGGAGGCGCCCAAAGGUUCCCUCAGCGCGGCCGGAAAUCGCGCGAAGAGUGUAAAGGCAGAAGGGAGCUUGACUGCGAGUCAAACACGACGAGCAGGUACGAAAGUAGGGCUUAGUGAUCCGGUGGUACCGAGUGGAAGGGCCAUCGCUCAACGGAUAAAAGCUACCCUGGGGAUAACAGGCUAAUCUCUCCCAAGAGUCCAUAUCGACGGGGAGGUUUGGCACCUCGAUGUCGGCUCAUCACAUCCUGGGGCUGAAGUCGGUCCCAAGGGUUGGGCUGUUCGCCCAUUAAAGUGGUACGUGAGCUGGGUUCAGAACGUCGUGAGACAGUUCGGUCCCUAUCCAUCGCGGGCGCAAGAGAUUUGAAGGGGGCUGCUCCUAGUACGAGAGGACCGGAGUGGACGAACCGCUGGUGUACCAAUUAUCCCGCCAGGGGUACAGUUGGGUAGCUACGUUCGGAAAGGAUAAACGCUGAAAGCAUCUAAGCGUGAAACCAGCCUUAAGAUGAGAUCUCUCAUAGAGCAAUCUAGUAAGACACCUUAAAGAAGAUGAGGUUGAUAGGUCGGGAGUGUAAGUACAGCAAUGUAUUGAGCGGACCGAUACUAAUAUGUCGAGGGCUUGACUUA
Molecule: ribosomal RNA, 1009 nt
Filed under: human gut metagenome
Description: bacterial LSU rRNA
Rfam family: Bacterial large subunit ribosomal RNA
Source: RNAcentral